CCUUGACAUACUAAGAACUUUCCAGAGAUGGAUUGGUGCCUUCGGGAACUUAGAUACAGGUGCUGCAUGGCUGUCGUCAGCUCGUGUCGUGAGAUGUUGGGUUAAGUCCCGNAACGAGCGCAACCCUUUUCCUAUUUGCCAGCGGGUCAUGCCGGGAACUUUAAGGAUACUGCCAGUGACAAACUGGAGGAAGGCGGGGACGACGUCAAGUCAUCAUGGCCCUUACGGCCAGGGCUACACACGUGCUACAAUGGUCGGUACAAAGGGUUGCUACCUCGCGAGAGGAUGCUAAUCUCAAAAAGCCGAUCGUAGUCCGGAUCGCAGUCUGCAACUCGACUGCGUGAAGUCGAAAUCGCUAGUAAUCGCGGAUCAGAAUGCCGCGGUGAAUACGUUCCCGGGCCUUGUACACACCGCCCGUCACACCAUGGGAGUUUGUUGCACCAGAAGUAGGUAGUCUAACCGCAAGGAGGACGCUUACCACGGUGUGGCCGAUGACUGGGGUGAAGUCGUAACAAGGUAAGCGUAGAUGA
Molecule: ribosomal RNA, 530 nt
Filed under: uncultured bacterium
Lineage: Bacteria
Description: bacterial SSU rRNA
Rfam family: Bacterial small subunit ribosomal RNA
Source: RNAcentral